The sequence is a small nucleolar RNA, 216 nucleotides long. Its record names the gene U3. It matches the Rfam family "Small nucleolar RNA U3". From Rfam's summary of the family: Small nucleolar RNAs (snoRNAs) are involved in the processing and modification of rRNA in the nucleolus. There are two main classes of snoRNAs: the box C/D class, and the box H/ACA class. U3 snoRNA is a member of the box C/D class. The record is from Ensembl.
AAGAUCAUACUUUCAGGGAUCAUUUCUAUAGAUUUUGACUUGAGAAAUAUCGUACGAAAGUGAUCGGUUACUCUAACCACGAUGAAGAGUAUUGAUGUUCCCUUCUGAGCGCGAAGCGGGUAGCGAGUAAUGAUUGAUUUCAUCCGCUCGUUGUCAUUGAUGACCGUUCCUUGCUCCCUCGUGGAGCCUGGAGGUAGGGAGCAUGAUCAGAGUGGU